RNAcentral lists this ribosomal RNA (540 nucleotides) under uncultured crenarchaeote. Its description in RNAcentral is "bacterial SSU rRNA". It matches the Rfam family "Archaeal small subunit ribosomal RNA", at positions 933 to 1472 of the family's 1478-position model. Lineage: Archaea; Thermoproteati; Thermoproteota. The record is from RNAcentral.
GGAGCGACAGCUGGAUGAAGGUCAGGCUGAAGACUUUACUAAACGAGCUGAGAGGAGGUGCAUGGCCGUCGCCAGCUCGUGCCGUGAGGCGUCCUGUUAAGUCAGGCAACGAGCGAGACCCCCACCGUUAAUUGCUAGCAUCGACCGCAAGGUUGGUGAGGCUAGUUAGCGGGACUGCUGCCGCUAAGGUGGAGGAAGGAGGGGGCUACGGCAGGUCAGUAUGCCCCGAAACUCCUGGGCUACACGCGGGCUGCAAUGGUAGGGACAAUAAGAUCCAACCUCGAAAGUGGAAGGUAAUCUCGAAACCCUACCUAAGUUGUGACUGAGGGCUGGAACUCGCCCUCACGAAUCUGGAAUCCCUAGUAAUCGCGCGUCAACACCGCGCGGUGAAUACGUCCCUGCUCCUUGCACACACCGCCCGUCGCUUCACCCGAGUUGAUUUUGGGCAAGGUGGCGCCAUGUUGACGCCGUCGAACCUGAGGUCGGCAAGGGGGGAGAAGUCGUAACAAGGUGGCCGUAGGGAAACCUGCGGCCGGAUCA